AUGAACGCUGGCGGCGUGCCUAGUACAUGCAAGUCGAGCGAACGGACGAGAAGCUUGCUUCUCUGAUGUUAGCGGCGGACGGGUGAGUAACACGUGGAUAACCUACCUAUAAGACUGGGAUAACUUCGGGAAACCGGAGCUAAUACCGGAUAAUAUUUUGAACCGCAUGGUUCAAAAGUGAAAGACGGUCUUGCUGUCACUUAUAGAUGGAUCCGCGCUGCAUUAGCUAGUUGGUAAGGUAACGGCUUACCAAGGCAACGAUGCAUAGCCGACCUGAGAGGGUAAUCGCCAACACUGAAACUGAGACACGGUCCAGCCUCCUAGGGGAGGCAGAGGUAGGAAUUUUUCGGCAAUGGGCAAAGGCCUGACGGGGAAACGCGGGGGAGGUAAUGAGGGUCUUCGAACGGAAAAACCUUGUUAUAAGGAAGAACAUAUGUGUAAGUAACUGUGCACAUCUUGACGGUACCUAAUCAGAAAGCCACGGCUAACUACGU
This 494-nucleotide ribosomal RNA is filed under the name uncultured bacterium. Its description in RNAcentral is "partial 16S ribosomal RNA". It matches the Rfam family "Bacterial small subunit ribosomal RNA", at positions 29 to 506 of the family's 1533-position model. The record is from RNAcentral.